GACGAACGCUGGCGGCGUGCUUAACACAUGCAAGUCGAACGAUGAAGCCCAGCUUGCUGGGUGGAUUAGUGGCGAACGGGUGAGUAACACGUGGGCAACCUGCCCCAAACUCUGGGAUAACUCCUCGAAAGAGGUGCUAAUACCGGAUACGAACUAGACAGACAUCUGUACUAGUUGGAAAGUUUUUCGGUUUGGGAUGGGCCCGCGGCCUAUCAGCUUGUUGGUGAGGUAACGGCUCACCAAGGCUACGACGGGUAACCGGCCUGAGAGGGCGACCGGUCACACGGGGACUGAGACACGGCCCAGACUCCUACGGGAGGCAGCAGUGGGGAAUAUUGCGCAAUGGGCGAAAGCCUGACGCAGCGACGCCGCGUGAGGGAUGAAGGUCUUCGGAUCGUAAACCUCCUUCAGUAGGGACGAGGCGAAAGUGACGGUACCUAAAGAAGAAGCACCGGCUAACUACGUGCCAGCAGCCGCCGUAA
Molecule: ribosomal RNA, 482 nt
Filed under: uncultured bacterium
Lineage: Bacteria
Description: partial 16S ribosomal RNA
Rfam family: Bacterial small subunit ribosomal RNA
Source: RNAcentral